AUGGCAGAACAGAAAAAUAUGCCAAAUGCGUUACGAGAUAAAGUUAAAGAUGUGGCUGAGCUGAUUAAGAUUGUGCAGCAGAUUGCCAUUUUAAUUGGAUGCGUUGGGUUGCCCCAUCUGAGGUCUCUUGUUGAAAUUAUAGAGCAUGGUAUAAGUGAUGAGAAUCAGAAGGUACGAAUGAUCACUGCAUUGUCUCUUGUCGCGCUUACUGAAGCUGUUGCGCCUUAUGGUAUUGAAAGUUUUGACCCAUGUUGA
This is a non-coding RNA of Vicia faba (fava bean), 255 nucleotides long. Lineage: Eukaryota; Viridiplantae; Streptophyta; Magnoliopsida; Fabales; Fabaceae. The record is from the annotation of a GenBank genome assembly.